AUGUCAUCUCUCAAGCCAAUCAGCCCAGUACGGGUGACUGGUGCAUUUUCUAUAGCGCUUUCCCCGUUUUUGGCGUCACGGUGGAUUAUGAAUGACAGUUGUCCGAAGCAGGAAGACAAUGGAGAUGACAGGCUCAGCAACUUGCCUGAACAUAUUUUGCUUACCAUCAUUGAUCGACUUGAUAUCCGCGAGGCUGCAAGAACCAGUGUCCUUUCUGGCCGGUGGCGGCACCUCCCUGCUAUGCUCUCUCGACUUGUGAUAAAUGUUUGGGACUUCUUAGACGCGUUCAAUUGCAACAAUGAUGAAAUUGUUCGGGGCAACGAAGCUGUGGUUAAAGUGACAAAGAGCAUCCUGGCACGCAGAGAUUUAAGCCGAAAUGCCAUCCAGUUUCUGUGCAUGACGUUCUUCUUGAGAGAAGAUGAUCCAAUAUCCAUUGGGCAUGCUGUUGCUCACGCCAUGGCAACCCAGAAGGUUGAGAUAGCUGAGUUCAUAAUUUUCACGGAGAGGGAUGAUACCCACUGCGACGACGAUGAUCUUGUCAAUUACGGGCGACAAUUCAUGCUAUUCUUCGGUGCAUGUUCCAAUGCAUUUGGUGGUCUCACACGUCUUAACCUAGAGAAUUUGAGAUUCGGGGAAUCAGACAUCCCUAACAUCCUCAACAUUUGCAAACGGUUAAAUCAUCUACGCCUGUUCAAUUGUGACUCAGGAAAUUCGACCAUGUUGCAAGUUGAGCACACACAACUCAUUGAGCUUGCUAUUGUUGAUUGUUCUUUUGAAAGAGUUGAGCUCAGCUCACUUCCGAAACUCACACGGAUCAUCUUUGAGGGUUGGAUCUCUUUCCAAGAUCCACUAUCUUUUGGUUAUGUCCCGUUGCUUGAUGUUGUAAGCCUCACAAAUGUUGGCCUUAGUUGGCACAAGAUGGUCAGGUUAAGUAAGUUUCUUCGGGAUACUAUCUCUGUGAGACAGUUGCAGCUGGGAUUUAAGUCCGAAAAGAUUUGGGUUCAACCAGAAUGUCUGACGGGAAGGAUGGCAUCCGUGUUUGACCAAAUGCGGUUUGUGAAUCUAGCUAAUAUUCCUGAGGGGUAUGAUCUCACCUGGACAUUGUUCAUUCUUAAAGCUGCGCCAAUCCUGAAGGAGCUAUACUUGAGUGUAUGGGAUCAUCUGUGUAUAAUGGAAACAGAUGCAAAGGAGAGGAAGUCACUCUCGUAUAGUGAGGAUAAAGGUGCACAGUGGGAAUCAUCUGCAACUGAUUUCCAGCAUCACAGUCUGGCCACGCUCGUCAUCUUCGGGUUUCAAGCUCGAGACUACAUGAUGAACUAUGUCAAGCGUGCCAUGCAAAUAUCGGUCAAUCUAAAGGAUGUGUUCUUGUAUGAUCGGUUGACAUGUGACAAGUGCUACGGCAAGCUUCCAAAGCCGUCGGAGUUUCCGCCUAAGUGGCAGCAAGGCUGUGUGAAGGAGAUAAUCACCAAGAGGAUCAAUUCGUCUGCCAUAAUUCACUUCCAUACCGUCGCCAAUUCAAGGGAUGAUCAUCUCGACAAAAUGUGGUUCCUGUAG
This 1554-nucleotide ribosomal RNA is filed under the name Triticum aestivum (bread wheat). RNAcentral's name for it is "partial small subunit ribosomal RNA". Lineage: Eukaryota; Viridiplantae; Streptophyta; Magnoliopsida; Poales; Poaceae. The record is from RNAcentral.